Molecule: non-coding RNA, 1498 nt
Organism: Callithrix jacchus (white-tufted-ear marmoset)
Lineage: Eukaryota; Metazoa; Chordata; Mammalia; Primates; Cebidae
Source: RefSeq, a predicted model, not a curated record
GCUCCCAGUUUAGACAGAGAGCUCAUUCAUCCAUGGUGACGCUGCUGGGUGUGAUUUGCCAGUCACUGAGAUGCCCUUGUUUUUUUUUUUCCUUCUUGCAGAACCAUCUGCAGUUGGUGAAAAAUAACCCACUACAGCUAGUGAACAUUUCCCACCUUUUAUCCUCUGGCUUCAUAGGGCUGUGACAGACGGUGCCCCAGCAGGAACUAUGCAGCUCAACUGCCAAAGGUGUUGCUGUUCCUGCAGAAAUCCUAGAGACAGUGCUCUGCCCCAGCAAACAGACUUCUGCAGAACGAGCUGCUGUACCUAAGAACCAACCCUUCUCAAGUAGGUGUGUCUAACUAAAAUGAAACCACUGAGGAAACUGCCUUGAUACUGAACUUCCCUAAACCAGGUCUCAGCAGAAGAAAAAAGCAUCCCUCCUACCUCAUUUCUCCUUUUGGAGGCUAGCAGGAAAUUAAAAAAGGAAAGGAGUUCCAUGCAGUAUUUCUGACAGCAAAUUUCUCAGAAUCCAGAGAUACUUCUUUUCCCUGUAAUAAGUUGCUGCAGAUACAAAGGAGCACUUAUGAUUGAUGACUGUCUCUGUUUGCAGGAGUGAUAAUUUUUGAACACACAGUUCUCGAUUAAAAUACAAAUGCAUUUUCAACUGCGUAUUUCUUUAUCUAUGUUUUAGUCUUACUUGACAAAAUGUGAAAAGAAUCCAGUAAAGUUGGGUUCUAGCAUACUGCAGAAGUGAAACUGAAGUAAGGAGAUUUUUAAAUGCGGAGGGAACAUCCAUUGCUAUCUCUCGGUACCUGAGUUCUCAUGUAGGAGUAGAUCUGGUUGAUAUUGUUAUCUGGAGUCUAAGAACUCUCUUCCCAUAUCAGGUAAUUUGAACUGGGCUUUUGUCACUUGCAGUAGGAAGAAUCCUGAAUAUUCCCUGAGGCUUGUAGAAUUGCAGAAUAUGAGCUCAAAGUUGUUUAUAUAGACCAGUAUGAAAAAUAUCAUAAAAUGCAGGACAAAGAUCUAUAGAUUUUGAGAGGUUCCAAAUGCAGGACCCUUUUCUUGCACCGAGCGUGGCAGUGCUCCUUGGAGCCACAGCACAUGAGAAUUGUGAAAUUACAGGUUCAACUGGCUUUGAGAAGAUAAUGCACAAAGGAUUAAGAAGCAAUGGUAAAGCAAGGAUGCUGGAAUAAAUACGGCCAAACAGCAAUGUUUUAAAAACUACGUAUCUAUCAAUUUUUGAGUGUAGGUUUUUAAAACAUUUAAUCAAAUUAAGCAUAACUGUAAAAAUGUGUAGAAAUGGAAAGAAAUUCAGUGUUUAGUUUCAUUAGAUAUAAGGUCUUUAUUAAUGGUACUAUACAUAUCUAACUGCAUGGAUUUUUAAAAAUCAAAGUCUUAUAAUGAACAGAAUGUAUUUAUUUGGCAUCCAUACAGCUGUGAAUAGCUGUAACAUGUUUAAUGUUUGUUCUAUACAAUUCCCUUACAUAUCACAAUAAAAAGACCUUUUUGAAAAAUC